This is a long non-coding RNA of Nematolebias whitei (Rio pearlfish), 178 nucleotides long. RefSeq lists it as uncharacterized. The transcript has 3 exons. Lineage: Eukaryota; Metazoa; Chordata; Actinopteri; Cyprinodontiformes; Rivulidae. The record is from RefSeq and is a predicted model, not a curated record.
GGAAAAACUCCAGACUAUCUCCUCUUAGGCAACAUGGUUUAUACAUUUGUGGUCAUCACAGUUUGUCUUAAAGCCGGUCUCGAGACCUCAUCCUGGACCAUGUUCAGUCACAUCGCCAUCUGGGGUAGCAUCAUCCUGUGGGUGGUGUUUUUCCUGAUCUACUCCUCCCUGUGGCCCC